RNAcentral lists this ribosomal RNA (876 nucleotides) under uncultured archaeon. RNAcentral's name for it is "bacterial SSU rRNA". It matches the Rfam family "Archaeal small subunit ribosomal RNA", at positions 21 to 903 of the family's 1478-position model. The record is from RNAcentral.
CCUGACUGCUAUCGGAUUGAUACUAAGCCAUGCGAGUCUUUGCAGUAAUGCAAGGCAUACGGCUCAGUAACACGUAGUCAACUUACCCUAUGGACGAGGAUAAUCUCGGGAAACUGAGCAUAAUACUCGAUAGAUCAUAAUGCCUGGAAUGGUUUAUGGUUGAAAUGAUUCGUCGCCAUAGGAUGGGACUGCGGCCUAUCAGCUUGUUGGUGAGGUAAUGGCCCACCAAGGCGAUUACAGGUACGGGCUCUGAGAGGAGAAGCCCGGAGAUGGGUACUGAGACAAGGACCCAGGCCCUAUGGGGCGCAGCAGGCGAGAAAACUUUGCAAUGUGCGAAAGCACGACAAGGUUAAUCCGAGUGAUUUCUGCUAAAGAAAUCUUUUGCAAGUCAUAAAACCACUAGUGAAUAAGGGGUGGGCAAGUUCUGGUGUCAGCCGCCGCGGUAAAACCAGCACCUCAAGUGGUCAGGAGGAUUAUUGGGCCUAAAGCAUCCGUAGCCGGCUCUGUAAGUUUUCGGUUAAAUCCAUGUGCUCAACGCAUGGGCUGCCGAAAAUACUGCAUAGCUAGGGAGUGGGAGAGGUAGACGGUACUCGGUAGGAAGGGGUAAAAUCCUUUGAUCUAUCGAUGACCACCUGUGGCGAAGGCGGUCUACCAGAACACGUUCGACGGUGAGGGAUGAAAGCUGGGGGAGCAAACCGGAUUAGAUACCCGGGUAGUCCCAGCUGUAAACGAUGCAGACUCGAUGAUGCAUUGGCAUAUAGCCAGUGCAGUGUCGCAGGGAAGCCGUUAAGUCUGCCGCCUGGGAAGUACGUACGCAAGUAUGAAACUUAAAGGAAUUGGCGGGGGAGCACGACCAAGGGGUGAAGCCUGCGGUUC